AGCUACGGCCACACCGCCUGGUUCACGCCCGAUCUCGUUUGAUCUCGGAAGCUAAGGUAGGUUGGGCCUGGUUAGUACUUGGAUGGGAGACCGCCCUGGGAAUACCAGGUGCUGUAAGUA
This 120-nucleotide ribosomal RNA is filed under the name Scophthalmus maximus (turbot). The record is from RNAcentral. Lineage: Eukaryota; Metazoa; Chordata; Actinopteri; Pleuronectiformes; Scophthalmidae.